Molecule: unclassified non-coding RNA, 320 nt
Filed under: uncultured fungus
Lineage: Eukaryota; Fungi
Description: sequence contains ITS1
Source: RNAcentral
GUAUUCAAUUUAUUUUUGUUUUCCAAAAAAAAUUUAAUGUUUUCAGGCUUGCUUUGAGAACAAAGCAAGAAAGGUUUGUCAACGUGAAACAAGAGAAAAAACUCUGGCAGCGCCGGAGGGAAGGGAAAGCGAGAGAAAAAGCAAGCUUGACCUCUCGGUUCCCUCCUCUCCACGGAGAAACAAUGAAGGAUCCUCCCGCAAACUGCCAAAGCAAACAUGUCAAUGAGGUGCACACGAAGGUGGAUAUGGAUUUGAACCAUCCAUAUGAAAAGGAAAAUGGACAAUUGUUAAUGAUCCUUCCGCAGGUUCACCUACGGAAA